CAGUCGCCGCGGGAAUACAGAGGGUGCGAGCGUUAAUCGGAUUUACUGGGCGUAAAGCGUGCGUAGGCGGCUUCUUAAGUCGGAUGUGAAAUCCCUGAGCUUAACUUAGGAAUUGCAUUCGAUACUGGGAAGCUAGAGUAUGGGAGAGGAUGGUAGAAUUCCAGGUGUAGCGGUGAAAUGCGUAGAGAUCUGGAGGAAUACCGAUGGCGAAGGCAGCCAUCUGGCCUAAUACUGACGCUGAGGUACGAAAGCAUGGGGAGCAAACAGGAUUAGAUACCCCAGUAGUCCAUGUCUCUUAUAC
Molecule: ribosomal RNA, 301 nt
Filed under: uncultured bacterium
Lineage: Bacteria
Description: partial 16S ribosomal RNA
Rfam family: Bacterial small subunit ribosomal RNA
Source: RNAcentral